Molecule: unclassified non-coding RNA, 1490 nt
Filed under: Hevea brasiliensis (rubber tree)
Lineage: Eukaryota; Viridiplantae; Streptophyta; Magnoliopsida; Malpighiales; Euphorbiaceae
Source: RNAcentral
CCAUCAUCAUCUUCUUCUUCUUCUUUAUGGGGGUUGGUUUCUCUGGUUUUGCUUCACCCAGUGGUGGAGGUCCUUCUCCAUCAAGACCCAGUCUUGAUGAUGUGCCGGAGGGUUGUGUCUCUUCCAUUCUUAUGUACUUGGAUCCACCGGAGAUAUGUAAACUGGCCGGGUUGAACCGAACCUUCCAUGGAGCUUCUUUAGCCGAUUUUGUGUGGGAGACGAAGUUGCCAUCAAACUAUAAAGUUCUUGUUAAGGAAGUUUUACAAGAAAGUCCAGAGAGUUUGAGCAAGAAGGAGAUCUAUGCAAGAUUAUGUCAAGCUAAUUGCUUCGAUGGUGGCACCAAGCAAGUUUGGCUGGAUAAGAGUAGUGGCAAGAUUUGUCUGUCGGUUUCAUACAAGGCAUUGAAAAUUACUGGGAUAGAUGAUCGGAGAUAUUGGAAUCAUAUGUCAUCUGGGGAAUCCAGGUUCCAUAUGAUUGCAUAUCUUCAACAAAUUUGGUGGUUUGAAGUAGUUGGAGAAAUAGAGUUUGAAUUUCCUCCAGACACAUAUAGCCUCUUCUUCAGGCUUCAAUUAGGCAAAGCAUCAAAAAGAUUUGGGCGAAGAGUGUGUAACAUGGAUCAAAUUCAUGGAUGGAAUAUAAAACCCGUCCAAUUUCAGCUAUCAACAUCCAACGGCCAGCGUGCUUUGUCGGAAUGUUACUUGCAUGAACAAGGAAAUUGGGUUUACUAUAAUGUUGGUGAAUUCACAGUCGAUAAACUUCACCCACAAAUUAAGAUAAAGUUUUCGAUGAUGCAGAUUGAUUGUACGCAUAUUAAAGGUGGUGUAUGCCUGGAUUCUGUGUUAAUAUGCCCUAGUGAGUUGAGACACAAAUUAAACCAAUUUUAAGCAGUCAAGGCAAAUCUUUUGAGGUAGCUGGUAAAAUUUUACAUAUACAGGGUACAUAGAUAAGGGGAUAGAAACACGUCUAUCGGGAAAACUGGGUGUUUUUUUUUUUUUAAGUACAUCUGGGCCUGGUGUUUGUGAUUUUAAGGCUUCAAGCUUCAUGGAUACCCAAGUGGGUAGCGUUUUUUUUUCUCCACAAUCUUAUUUACUUGUACAAGUACAUUACCGCCAUGUAAUUAGCUUGCUAGAGUAUUUUCCCCUCCUCUUAUUGAAGCAGAGACAAUGUAAAGUUUUUUCUUUUCCUCCACUUAUUAAAGAGGGGAAUGUAAUGCAAGUUCAGCUUUUAUAUGUACAUGAAUUUCCAAUCCUAAAUAACAUGAGUAGAAGUGGUGAAGAAGGGUGUAUUGUGUUCUCCAAGUUUGGGCCAUAGUGAGAGCGACCGUUGAUCAAUGUAGUCGCAUCAAGGUUGGUCUUCUUAUCCAUAAAAGGCAGGACCCACCAUUUUUAAGCCCUAUCCUAAAUCCUUGCAUCUCCUCUUCUAUUCUCGACCCACCAAUUUUUCUAUCUUAUCUUAAUUUGUGCAUGCAUAUUUUCUCAUUUCCCUUGUUA